Long non-coding RNA from Perognathus longimembris pacificus (Pacific pocket mouse), 655 nucleotides. RefSeq lists it as uncharacterized. The record is from RefSeq and is a predicted model, not a curated record. The transcript has 4 exons. Lineage: Eukaryota; Metazoa; Chordata; Mammalia; Rodentia; Heteromyidae.
GACUUUCCUGCCCAGGCUGGCUUUGAACUACGAUUUUCAUAUCUCAGCCUCCUGAGUAGCUAGAAUUACAGGCCUGAGCCACUGGUGCUGGGAUGCAAUUCUUUCUUAGAAGCAUUUCAUACUCUUCAUCAUCUAAGUGAUACCUAGAAAUUCUGAGUUCUUGCCUAUUGCUGUCUAAACUCCAAUCUCACAAGUGUUCAGUGAUCAAGUUCAGGUAACCCAUCUCCAGGUAUCUCUUUCUCUACAAAUCCAAGAGUGGUAUUCAGAACCCAAGAACAAAAAUGAGAGUAGGUUCUCAAAGUAAAAUGGCACCUUUCAGCAUGGAACCUUACCUUACACCUCAGUCUAAAAAGACCAUUCUCACCAGCUUACUAUAUCCUACUUUCAAGCUUCUUUUUGAAGUGCUGCUUGCCUCUCCUUCGAAAGCCAUUUCCCAAAUCCACCUCUUCUUUGAAGCAUUCCUUGACCAAUGUACUGCAAACAGUUCCCUCCCACUUCUGUAAUGGACUUACUGAAUUGUAGUUUGUUUCCCAAUAAACAAAUAUGGGUAGGAAAAACUACCAUUCAGCUCUGAUAAUGGUAUUGGCAAUAUAUGGUCCAUUGUCAAGACGCUAAGUGUCCGACUAUCUCUCGCUCUGCUGCCUCUUAUUUAUUA